AGUCCCCGCAAGGGGAUGAGUAAAGUGGCGACCGGGUGAGUAACACGUGACUAACCUACCCUCAAGUGGGGAAUAACCUCGGGAAACCGGGGCUAAUACCGCAUAACAUCGCGAGUUGGAAUACUUGCGAUCAAAGGAGCAAUUCGCUGGAGGAGGGGGUCGCGGCUGAUUAGCUAGUUGGCAGGGUAACGGCCUACCAAGGCGAUGAUCAGUAGCCGGCCUGAGAGGGCGCACGGCCACACUGGAACUGAAACACGGUCCAGACUCCUACGGGAGGCAGCAGUGGGGAAUUUUGCGCAAUGGGGGAAACCCUGACGCAGCAACGCCGCGUGGAGGAUGAAGUCCCUUGGGACGUAAACUCCUUUCGAUCGGGACGAAUAAUGACGGUACCGGAAGAAGAAGCCCCGGCUAACUCCGUGCCAGCAGCCGCGGUAAUACGGGGGGGGCAAGCGUUGUUCGGAAUUAUUGGGCGUAAAGGGCACGUAGGCGGUGUCGCAAGUCCGUGGUGAAAUCUCCAGGCUCAACUUGGAGUCUGCCGCGGAAACUGCGGUGCUGGAGUGUGGGAGAGGUGAGUGGAAUUCCCGGUGUAGCGGUGAAAUG
Molecule: ribosomal RNA, 600 nt
Filed under: uncultured bacterium
Lineage: Bacteria
Description: bacterial SSU rRNA
Rfam family: Bacterial small subunit ribosomal RNA
Source: RNAcentral